GACUCUCGGCAACGGAUAUCUCGGCUCUCACAUCGAUGAAGAACGUAGCGAACUGCGAUACUUGGUGUGAAUUACAGAAUCCCAUGAACCUCGAGUCUUUGAAUGCAAGUUGCGCCCGAAGCCAUUAGGCCGAGGGAACAUCUGCCUGGGCAUCA
RNAcentral lists this ribosomal RNA (155 nucleotides) under Capsicum annuum. RNAcentral's name for it is "5.8S ribosomal RNA". It matches the Rfam family "5.8S ribosomal RNA". Rfam says of the family: 5.8S ribosomal RNA (5.8S rRNA) is a component of the large subunit of the eukaryotic ribosome. It is transcribed by RNA polymerase I as part of the 45S precursor that also contains 18S and 28S rRNA. Lineage: Eukaryota; Viridiplantae; Streptophyta; Magnoliopsida; Solanales; Solanaceae. The record is from Rfam by way of RNAcentral.